ACCUCAUCUUUAUCAACUGGUUAAUCAAAACAGUACCAUGAGCUGAACAUGAAUUCCCUUCUUUUGCUUCCCACAUGUGAAUCAUUACAUAUUCAUCUGUAAGGAACACUUUCAACAGAAACUUUUUGACCCUUCCGCCCUUUCAUCACCCCUGCUUGAAAAAAGAAUAAAAUAACGAAAUCAAAAGAAAACAGUACCAGUGUUUGCUUGAUUUCUCAAUGUCCAGUAUUGGAUGCUUCUUACAAAAAUCACUAGGAAUUUUUUUGCCUGACAAUGCAUAGAGUAUGAGACAAGUAAUUACCUGCACAGUUACAAAAGCUGACUUCUAUACUACUGUUUGUUCUUGAAGUCCAUUUUCUAUCCACUUUUUCUUAAGUUUUGGUUGUACAAAACAUUGAUAACUUUUUUUUUAAAAUAGCGAAAUUUAAUUCACAUACAGGUAUCAAAUCAUCAGAUUACAUGAAAGAAAUUUUGGAGACAAUUCCAAGUGGUUGGAGAUUGUUGAAGAGGUCGAUCUUGUCUUAUUUUCUGUUUCUUUGACGGAUUAUGAUGAGUUCUAUGUUGACAGCGAGGGAUGUCGCAUAAACAAGAUGUUGGCUAGCAGGAAGCUAAUGGAGAAUGUAGUUACUCAUGCAACCUUUGCAAAUAAAAACUUCCUUUUAGUACUUGACAAGUUUGACUUGUUUGAGAAAAAAGUUGGACAGGCUCCUCUGACACGAUGUGACUGGUUUCAAGAUUUUAAUAUAGAGGUUCUUCCAUGUAGUUCCGCGUCUGUGGGUCAAUAUGCUUUUCACUACAUUGCAGUAAAAUUUAAAAGGUUGUUCGAUUCCAUCACCACUGGGAAGCUGUAUGUUUCACCAGUUACUGUACUAGGGGCUGAUAGUGUGGAAGAAGCUCUCAAAUAUGGUAGGGAAAUCAUUAAGUGGGAAGAAGAGAAAUUUACCGUCGACUAUAGUGAUGAUGAAUGGUCUUCUUCAAGCUUUUAGUCUAGCACAGCUCCAUAAAUUAUGUGUGGCACAUCCCUGUAAUAGGAGGUCUCUCUGCUUUGCCAAUGUUGAUGGUCAUCUUCCUUAAUACGUGAAAUGAAGGUAAAUGAAACACUAUAGGCGAAAUAUAAGUUAACAAGCUCGCACUUCAACUUAUAUUUUCUGGCAUCCACUAUGCCUUCUGUAGGUAGAGUGCAAUUGAUACCUCCAAGUCCAAGAAAAGGUUAAAUC
Molecule: long non-coding RNA, 1217 nt
Filed under: Coffea arabica (coffee)
Lineage: Eukaryota; Viridiplantae; Streptophyta; Magnoliopsida; Gentianales; Rubiaceae
Description: long non-coding RNA (CARA_LNC005398)
Source: RNAcentral